Molecule: ribosomal RNA, 2278 nt
Filed under: Pseudomonas aeruginosa
Lineage: Bacteria; Pseudomonadati; Pseudomonadota; Gammaproteobacteria; Pseudomonadales; Pseudomonadaceae
Description: bacterial LSU rRNA
Rfam family: Bacterial large subunit ribosomal RNA
Source: RNAcentral
AGCGCAUACGGUGGAUGCCUUGGCAGUCAGAGGCGAUGAAAGACGUGGUAGCCUGCGAAAAGCUUCGGGGAGUCGGCAAACAGACUUUGAUCCGGAGAUCUCUGAAUGGGGGAACCCACCUAGGAUAACCUAGGUAUCUUGUACUGAAUCCAUAGGUGCAAGAGGCGAACCAGGGGAACUGAAACAUCUAAGUACCCUGAGGAAAAGAAAUCAACCGAGAUUCCCUUAGUAGUGGCGAGCGAACGGGGAUUAGCCCUUAAGCUUCAUUGAUUUUAGCGGAACGCUCUGGAAAGUGCGGCCAUAGUGGGUGAUAGCCCCGUACGCGAAAGGAUCUUUGAAGUGAAAUCGAGUAGGACGGAGCACGAGAAACUUUGUCUGAACAUGGGGGGACCAUCCUCCAAGGCUAAAUACUACUGACUGACCGAUAGUGAACCAGUACCGUGAGGGAAAGGCGAAAAGAACCCCGGAGAGGGGAGUGAAAUAGAACCUGAAACCGUAUGCGUACAAGCAGUGGGAGCCUACUUGUUAGGUGACUGCGUACCUUUUGUAUAAUGGGUCAGCGACUUAUAUUCAGUGGCAAGCUUAACCGUAUAGGGUAGGCGUAGCGAAAGCGAGUCUUAAUAGGGCGUUUAGUCGCUGGGUAUAGACCCGAAACCGGGCGAUCUAUCCAUGAGCAGGUUGAAGGUUAGGUAACACUGACUGGAGGACCGAACCCACUCCCGUUGAAAAGGUAGGGGAUGACUUGUGGAUCGGAGUGAAAGGCUAAUCAAGCUCGGAGAUAGCUGGUUCUCCUCGAAAGCUAUUUAGGUAGCGCCUCAUGUAUCACUCUGGGGGGUAGAGCACUGUUUCGGCUAGGGGGUCAUCCCGACUUACCAAACCGAUGCAAACUCCGAAUACCCAGAAGUGCCGAGCAUGGGAGACACACGGCGGGUGCUAACGUCCGUCGUGAAAAGGGAAACAACCCAGACCGCCAGCUAAGGUCCCAAAGUUGUGGUUAAGUGGUAAACGAUGUGGGAAGGCUUAGACAGCUAGGAGGUUGGCUUAGAAGCAGCCACCCUUUAAAGAAAGCGUAAUAGCUCACUAGUCGAGUCGGCCUGCGCGGAAGAUGUAACGGGGCUCAAACCACACACCGAAGCUGCGGGUGUCACGUAAGUGACGCGGUAGAGGAGCGUUCUGUAAGCCUGUGAAGGUGAGUUGAGAAGCUUGCUGGAGGUAUCAGAAGUGCGAAUGCUGACAUGAGUAACGACAAUGGGUGUGAAAAACACCCACGCCGAAAGACCAAGGGUUCCUGCGCAACGUUAAUCGACGCAGGGUUAGUCGGUUCCUAAGGCGAGGCUGAAAAGCGUAGUCGAUGGGAAACAGGUUAAUAUUCCUGUACUUCUGGUUACUGCGAUGGAGGGACGGAGAAGGCUAGGCCAGCUUGGCGUUGGUUGUCCAAGUUUAAGGUGGUAGGCUGAAAUCUUAGGUAAAUCCGGGGUUUCAAGGCCGAGAGCUGAUGACGAGUCGUCUUUUAGAUGACGAAGUGGUUGAUGCCAUGCUUCCAAGAAAAGCUUCUAAGCUUCAGGUAACCAGGAACCGUACCCCAAACCGACACAGGUGGUCGGGUAGAGAAUACCAAGGCGCUUGAGAGAACUCGGGUGAAGGAACUAGGCAAAAUGGCACCGUAACUUCGGGAGAAGGUGCGCCGGCUAGGGUGAAGGAUUUACUCCGUAAGCUCUGGCUGGUCGAAGAUACCAGGCCGCUGCGACUGUUUAUUAAAAACACAGCACUCUGCAAACACGAAAGUGGACGUAUAGGGUGUGACGCCUGCCCGGUGCCGGAAGGUUAAUUGAUGGGGUUAGCGCAAGCGAAGCUCUUGAUCGAAGCCCCGGUAAACGGCGGCCGUAACUAUAACGGUCCUAAGGUAGCGAAAUUCCUUGUCGGGUAAGUUCCGACCUGCACGAAUGGCGUAACGAUGGCGGCGCUGUCUCCACCCGAGACUCAGUGAAAUUGAAAUCGCUGUGAAGAUGCAGUGUAUCCGCGGCUAGACGGAAAGACCCCGUGAACCUUUACUGUAGCUUUGCACUGGACUUUGAGCCUGCUUGUGUAGGAUAGGUGGGAGGCUUUGAAGCGUGGACGCCAGUUCGCGUGGAGCCAUCCUUGAAAUACCACCCUGGCAUGCUUGAGGUUCUAACUCUGGUCCGUGAUCCGGAUCGAGGACAGUGUAUGGUGGGCAGUUUGACUGGGGCGGUCUCCUCCUAAAGAGUAACGGAGGAGUACGAAGGUGCGCUCAGACCGG